This 253-nucleotide ribosomal RNA is filed under the name uncultured bacterium. RNAcentral describes it as "partial 16S ribosomal RNA". It matches the Rfam family "Bacterial small subunit ribosomal RNA", at positions 524 to 776 of the family's 1533-position model. The record is from RNAcentral.
UACGGGGGGGGCAAGCGUUGUUCGGAAUUACUGGGCGUAAAGGGCUCGUAGGUGGCCAACUAAGUCGGACGUGAAAUCCCUCAGCUUAACUGGGGAACUGCGUCCGAUACUGGAUGGCUCGAGUUUGGGAGAGGGAUGCGGAAUUCCAGGUGUAGCGGUGAAAUGCGUAGAUAUCUGGAGGAACACCGGUGGCGAAGGCGGCAUCCUGGACCAACACUGACACUGAGGAGCGAAAGCCAGGGGAGCAAACAGG